UGCAGUCGACGAUGAACCGCUUUCGGGCGGGGAUUAGUGGCGAACGGGUGAGUAACACGUAACAAUCUGCCCUGCACUCUGGGACAAGCCCUGGAAACGGGGUCUAAUACCGGAUAUGACUGUCCAUCGCAUGGUGGAUGGUGUAAAGCUCCGGCGGUGCAGGAUGAGCCCGCGGCCUAUCAGCUUGUUGGUGAGGUAGUGGCUCACCAAGGCGACGACGGGUAGCCGGCCUGAGAGGGCGACCGGCCACACUGGGACUGAGACACGGCCCAGACUCCUACGGGAGGCAGCAGUGGGGAAUAUUGCACAAUGGGCGAAAGCCUGAUGCAGCGACGCCGCGUGAGGGAUGACGGCCUUCGGGUUGUAAACCUCUUUCAGCAGGGAAGAAGCGAAAGUGACGGUACCUGCAGAAGAAGCGCCGGCUAACUACGUGCCAGCAGCCGCGGUAAUAC
Molecule: ribosomal RNA, 452 nt
Filed under: Streptomyces albidoflavus
Lineage: Bacteria; Bacillati; Actinomycetota; Actinomycetes; Kitasatosporales; Streptomycetaceae
Also listed under: 1 other name
Description: bacterial SSU rRNA
Rfam family: Bacterial small subunit ribosomal RNA
Source: RNAcentral